RNAcentral lists this transfer RNA (76 nucleotides) under Pseudomonas aeruginosa. RNAcentral describes it as "tRNA-Ile". It matches the Rfam family "tRNA". Rfam says of the family: Transfer RNA (tRNA) molecules are approximately 80 nucleotides in length. Their secondary structure includes four short double-helical elements and three loops (D, anti-codon, and T loops). The record is from RNAcentral. RNAcentral also lists the same sequence under 2094 other names. Lineage: Bacteria; Pseudomonadati; Pseudomonadota; Gammaproteobacteria; Pseudomonadales; Pseudomonadaceae.
GGCCCCUUAGCUCAGUGGUUAGAGCAGGCGACUCAUAAUCGCUUGGUCGUUGGUUCAAACCCAACAGGGGCCACCA